GACCCUGAGCGUGUGCUAUAUUAGCACCGUGGUGUGCUAAACAGUGAUUCAGCACGCUACAUGUGCUGUUUCGUAGGCAUAUAGCACAGCCUAUGUGUUUGUAUUGGUGUGCUUUUUCAUAGCUUGUAAUUUUGAUGUUCGAUUACAUGUGCUAAAUGGACUGUGCUAAAUGUAAUGGGUGUGCUGAAACAGGUACACAUGCUAAUUCAGCACAGCGUGCUGUUUUCAGUACCAAAUAAGGGCAUGCAGUACAACAGAUGUGCAGCUGCAGCUGCAUAGCAACAAAGAUUUUUUAAAUUUGCUGUUCUUACAAAGAAAAAAAGAAGUUGAGUUUAGACAUGGUUUAAGAGCUGUUUGACAAAACUGUGGAACUAGGAAGGACAAGCAAGUAAAAGGUUGAAUGGGGCUCAAACAAAGUGGAAACCAAUUGAAGCCUAUUGCCCAAGUUUCAUAGCACAAUAAAAUGAUGUUGAAAGUGACACGUGUUGGAGAGAGCAUUAUACUGAACACCCUUGUAUGACCAGACCACUGUAAAGUAUCGACACAAUUGGAGGUAUGUAUUAUUAUUAUGCUGCUGUAUUGCCACAAUGUUUUAGGUAUAGUGGCUUUGCCCAAAAAGCAACACUGACUUAAAGCCCCUCUAAAGUAUAGCUAUCUGCCUAUAAUUAUACGUAUAUAGCGGUUAAUAAUUAUAAUAAAUGAUCCCAUUCUGUGCACGUAGUACGUUUAAAGCGUUUCCGUUUUAAUAGUGCGUAUUUUACUGUACCGUUGCUAUUACCAUUGCAAAUUACAAAUGCGGUGUGCUGUGUUUUUGAAUGCAUAGCGACAAUCCUCUAGUAACGGUUAUACCAAGCUAAAUUAUGCUUAGCUAUAAGCCUAUAGUUUUACAUAGAUCUAACAAAGAAUAGAACGCACCAUUGACUGCACUAUAAUCUUAGCAUAACUGCUAUAUAGCUAACUUACAUGUAGCAAAGCUAGCAAGCUGCAAAAUGUCGUGAUAACCAUAGCUGCAUGGGUGGCCAAAGUAAAAUGUAACAACAGAAAAAAGCUCUUAUCUUGAGCGUCCUUUUUAGCGUUUAAUUUGCGCUCUAUCAGUGUAUGUACUCUAUCAGUGUAUGUAACGGGGACUUUAUAUUUACCACUUUGUAAGUGUUAAAAGUUGCUGCUACGGAAAUCCCAAUAUCCUUACGCGCAAACGAUUUUCGAUUGCCACACACCCUCCUAAUUAAUGCAAAUCUAUACUGCCACCUGUAGCAUAUUGUCUGCCGGCCUUGCAGCUGUAUAGCUGUUCUUCUUAAGCUAACAAUUCUAUCAAUAUAUUUAUAUAGGACAACGCAACUUUCGUGUUAAGCUUUGGAUUAUAUUUGUUGUUUAACCCUUACAAUGAGUAAACCCUUACAAUGAGUAUUGUCGGAAGACAACUUCUCAAUCUGCUCUCUAUAUGCUCUCUAUAGGAGAUAAUUGAUGGGCCCGAAUAUUGAUGCUGCUCUAUAAUAGCACAACAAGAACUCAUUUGCAUUAUCAUAGUCUCGCAAACUUAAUUGUGCGUAAAAACGACUUACUAAGAGUUCAUUAGGAAGAGUACGCAACUCCACUAAGCAGUAGUAAGCAUUCUGUCUAACCUACGUCUAACCUACGUCACAAUCACAUGCUGUUGUAUAAACUGUAAAUCUUAGCGAUGAUGGAUGAAUACGUUAGUGAGGUUACCACUAAUUUUAUUCAUUGCUUUUCCUUAUCAGCAUUGUUAUUGUUAUUGUUGUAUCUCAAGUUACAUGCAAUAGUGAGUUUGCCUCCUGUGUACAGUCUAUUUGAGUUAUUUGAGUGUCGUACUCUUCCUCUUGUUCUUAUUGUGUUAUAGGACUCUUUCUGUAGCUACAAUUCUUUGCUUUUGGUUCAUGUACUUUUUCAUGCACUCGGCAUUUGUCAUAGAUCACAGCAAAGGCUUUUCUUAUUUCGCCCUAUAAUAAUUUUAAGUUUCAUUAGCAUACUUUGUUCAUGCAUGCUAUGACUGA
Halichondria panicea is the source of this 2012-nucleotide long non-coding RNA. RefSeq lists it as uncharacterized. The record is from RefSeq and is a predicted model, not a curated record. NCBI's taxonomy places the organism in Eukaryota, Metazoa, Porifera, Demospongiae, Suberitida, Halichondriidae. The transcript has 3 exons.